UGCUAAUAGAGUUUGAUCCUGCAUCAGAAAUGCUUCUGAGGUAGAUAGUUCCUAGCAGGAAUCAGGUGAAUGGGAAUGCAGCUACUUUCAGAAAGAGUGGGAGUCAUCAGGUCUCCUCCUCAAGUGCUUGAGAAACAGAACUCAGCAGGCAGAUACGUUGGUCGGAUAGCAUGUGAUCAGCGUGUUUGCUGUGAUCUCCUCUGGUACAGCUGAGAUCAUCUGUCAGAAACACAGGAAUUUAUGGUGGUGGUUGGGGAAUGCCACUUUCCCCAGUCCCUCUCCUGCUUCCCUUCUUUUCCGGCCAUCCCUUGCUGGACUUUCCUGCCUUUUUCAAUCCCAGCAGCCUGUCGGACAGCAGCAGGCGUGAGGGAAGGUGAGCUGAGGUGAUCACAGCACAGGCAGGGCAGCACCCUCACUGGCAGGGCACAGGCCCAAGAGCAGGGAAAAAAGAGCAGGGGUUGCAAUAGCAACAGGUCUCAUUAAGAGGCCAUCAGGUUAGAGGCCAUUUGAGGAAAUCCAAACAAAUCAGAACUGGGCACAGGCACAUUCAUGACGUAGCUCAGACCAGUAAAUGGCCUGAAAAGGGGAUCCCUGAGCGUGAGCAGAGGUGUGAGUUGAGGUCCCGUGACAUGGCAAUUAGGGCCCAGUACAACCUUCCCUCCCAUCUCACCUCACAACACUUUGGGUUUUGGGGGUGCCUGCUAAAACAGAUUCUGAUUUUGGCCAAUCCAACUGGUUCCCAGGAGUGCUCCUCAGCUUCAUCAGUUAAUGAGGUGUUAAACCUUCCCCCAAACAGCACAAUGUUUGCUCAAAACUUAUUUUACUGGGAAGUGGAUACAUAAGGAACCAACAAGUAGAUGCAAGGUUUGACAUUCACAGCGCUUCCAACCAAAAUCAGAAGGAAAUGGGUGCAAACACGACUCUUAGUUGUUACAGCAAGGCAAGACGUGAUUUACUGGAGACUGUUCCUAUUGCCAGUUCUGGGUGCCACCAUCAGCUCUCUCCAGUUGUCUGGAUCUCUGCCACCUUGAUGCAGCCUUGCGGAAUCUCCCAGCCCAUGAAAUCACAGGAAAUACAAUUCCCCACAGAGACAUCACCCUGCAGUGUCAAAGCUCUUAUGAUUCCCAUCCUAAUAUCACAAGAAACAUCAUUAAACAGUAUCACUUAAUCACAUCCAAGUAUGAGGCCUUUCCAAAGGUGCAGGUAUCUUCCUUGGUUACUGGUGCUAUUUAGAGCUGUGCCUCACAAACUGCUUAAAUGGUCUGGAAGUCACUUUUCUUCCCAGCCUUCACUUUGCAUCCCACAUGCUCUAUAUGGGAUCCAGUUAACUCUAAGGCAGACAAUGCUUAUUUUCUUCUAGUUUUUCC
RNAcentral lists this long non-coding RNA (1367 nucleotides) under Phasianus colchicus (ring-necked pheasant). RNAcentral's name for it is "lncRNA (ENSPCLG00000020510.1)". The record is from RNAcentral. Lineage: Eukaryota; Metazoa; Chordata; Aves; Galliformes; Phasianidae.